AUUGAACGCUGGCGGCAUGCUUUACACAUGCAAGUCGAACGGUAACAGGUCUUCGGAUGCUGACGAGUGGCGAACGGGUGAGUAAUGCAUCGGAACGUGCCCAGUCGUGGGGGAUAACGCAGCGAAAGCUGCGCUAAUACCGCAUACGAUCUAUGGAUGAAAGCGGGGGACCGUAAUGACUCGCGCGAUUGGAGCGGCCGUUGCCCGAUUAGCUAGUUGGUGGGGUAAAGGCCCACUAAGGCGACGAAAUGUAGCUGGUCUGAGAGGACGACCAGCCACACUGGGACUGUGACACGGCCCAGACUACUACGGGAGGCAGCAGUGGGGAAUUUUGGACAAUGGGCGCAAGCCUGAUCCAGCAAUGCCGCGUGCAGGAAGAAGGCCUUCGGGUUGUAAACUGCUUUUGUACGGAACGAAACGGUCUGGGUUAAUACCCUGGGCUAAUGACGGUACCGUAAGAAUAAGCACCGGCUAACUACGUGCCAGCAGCCGCAGUAA
RNAcentral lists this ribosomal RNA (498 nucleotides) under uncultured bacterium. RNAcentral's name for it is "partial 16S ribosomal RNA". It matches the Rfam family "Bacterial small subunit ribosomal RNA", at positions 30 to 523 of the family's 1533-position model. The record is from RNAcentral.